CGUGCCGAUAAUCCGCGCCCACUCCCACCCGCCGCACCCGUCCGCGGAGGGCGGCCGCCGCAGCUCCGCCAGCUGCACGCCAGGAAACCAAACCAGACAACAGGAAUUAUACAAGCCGAUUCAUGAAAUGCAACGUGGCGCAAUUCUCGAAGACCACGGCGUCCUCCGAGAACGGCACCGGCCGCACGGCUGCCACCUGUUCGCCCAAAUGUCACAGCGCCAUCAGCACGCACACAAGAGCCUAGACUUUGAAAUGCAGUUCAAUUCACCGGCUUGAAAGAUGCAGCUUUCGUGCAGACCUUCCCGUCGCAGCUCCCCCUGAACCCGUCGGCGUAGUGCGCGCCGGCGCCCGUGUCCGGUGUGGCGCAGCUCUGUUCGUCAACGGCGGCCGGCUCCGACGGCGGGUGCCCGUGGCUCGUCCACCUCCACGUCCUCCCCUCCAUGUGCCGCCGGUACACGUGCCCGUCGGAGCCGACCACGAACAGCUGGGAGCCGUCGAAGCACGGGCCAGGGGCGCCGACGAGGGUCACGCCCCGGUGGGGCGUCCCGUGCUCUACCCACUCCCACCCGUCCUGUGGGCUGAAGUGGUACUCCACCAGCCCCCCGUGCUCGGACACCAUGAACAGGGAGCCGGCCAGGGACAGCGGCGAUGGCCGCAUGGCCGUCCCUGGGGAGCACGAUAGGAACAGGUGAGGUGAUUGGUAGUGCCUGUGCCAGAGCUCCGUGAUCCUGUUGUACUGGUAGAGGCGACCGUUGC
This is a long non-coding RNA of Zea mays, 757 nucleotides long. RefSeq lists it as uncharacterized. The record is from RefSeq and is a predicted model, not a curated record. The transcript has 2 exons. Lineage: Eukaryota; Viridiplantae; Streptophyta; Magnoliopsida; Poales; Poaceae.